GGCGGGGGCGGGGGCGGGGGCGGGGGCGGCGUCCCGUAACGUCGUCAGCUUUAACGACGAGGAGGAGAUCCCGUCGGCAAUCAGCGAUUUGCUCGCCCAGCUGUUCGGCCAAUAGCGAGCGUCUUCUGAGCCCGGUUGCCAUAGCGACGCCCCUGGCUAAUAUAACGCUCCCCCAUUACUAAUGUUGUCAGAGCAGAUAUACGCUCUGUUACUGGCAAUAGAGGCAAAUACUCUGUUACUGGCAAUGGAGAUAUACACACAAUUAAUGUUAAACAGAUAUAAAUACUGUAAUUGUCAGAUCAGAUAUAUAUAUAUAUAUACGUGUUGUUACUAUCAGGGGAGUGUAACACGACUUCCACAUUUUUAGCAUAGAAGUCAACAAAUGGCCUCAUGUAUCACUUUUAGAGCUCUUAGAAUCAUGUAAAAAAUACGCACGUUUUAAAAGUUAUUACCUAUUAUAUAUAUUAUGCGUUUGUUAUGAAUGAACUACUGAUUAUUCUAGCCUAAUAAUUUUAUAUUGAUAUAUGCCAAGAUAUAAAUAAAAUGUUUCAUAUAAAAA
Molecule: long non-coding RNA, 559 nt
Organism: Priapulus caudatus
Lineage: Eukaryota; Metazoa; Priapulida; Priapulimorpha; Priapulimorphida; Priapulidae
Exons: 2
Source: RefSeq, a predicted model, not a curated record